UGACAUUUAUGUUCUUUGCCACGUUAGCUU
RNAcentral lists this non-coding RNA (30 nucleotides) under Mus musculus (house mouse). The record is from RNAcentral. Lineage: Eukaryota; Metazoa; Chordata; Mammalia; Rodentia; Muridae.